Molecule: long non-coding RNA, 1085 nt
Filed under: Homo sapiens (human)
Lineage: Eukaryota; Metazoa; Chordata; Mammalia; Primates; Hominidae
Description: HSALNT0011208
Source: RNAcentral
CAGGCGCCCGCCACCACGCCUGGCCAAUUUUUUUGUAUUUUUUUAGUAGAGACGGGGUUUCACCGUGUUAGCCAGGAUAGUCUUGAUCUUCUGACCUCGUGAGCCGCCUGUCUCAGCCUCCCAAAGGGCUGGGAUUACAGGCGUGAGCCACCGCGCCCGGCCGAUUUACCACUCUUGAUGUUCACCACCUGGCUGAGAAUGUUAGAAACCAAGAUCAAGAGCUUGAUGUGCUUGUUGAUACUGGAGUGUCAUUGAUUCUUGGCCCUGUCAACUGACCAGAUCAAGGAACUACAUGUGUAUAAGCUAAGGAACACUUGACUGGUAAGAGGAAGAAAAGCCUCAAGAGAACAUGCAUACAACUCCAGUAAAUGCCUGUGCAUAUGCCCCCACAACAAGCACUAGCAGGCCACUGUGCAUGAGGACAGCCCAUCCCAAGGGAAGAAUCGGAAGAAGUAACACAAGACCCCUGAAGCAUGCCAAACCCUAAGGGAAAGUCAACCUGUGCACUUGAUCUUUCAAGUUGCCUGCUUGGCCCUCUUCGAAGUGCACUUUACUUCCUUUCAUUUGUGAACCCCCAAGUAUCUGAGACAGGUCUCAGUUAAUUUAGAAAGUUUAUUUUGCCAAGGUUGAGGGUGUGCGCCCGUUACACAGCCUCAGGAGGUCCUGACAACAUGUGCCCAAGCGGGUCAGAACACAGUUUGGUUUUUAUACAUUUUAGGGAGACAUGAGACAUCAAUCCACAUAUAUAAGAUGAAUAUUGGUUCUAUCCAGAAAAAGCGGGACAAUUCAACGCAAAGGCGGGACUACUUGAAGCGGGAGGGGGCUUCCAGGUCAUAGGUAGAUAAGAGAAAAUUGUAUUCUUUUGAGUUUCUGAUUAGCCUUUCCAAAGGAGGCAAUCAGAUAUGCAUUUAUCUCAGUGAGUAGAGGGGUGACUUUGAAUAGAACGGGAGGCAGGUUGGCUCUAAGCAGUUCCCAGCUUGACUUUUCCCUUUAGCUUAGUGAUUUGGGGGGCCCCAAGAUUCAUUUUCCUUUCACACAUUCCUGUUCUAAAGCUUUUUAAUAAACCUUCACUUCUGCUCUAAAAC